CCCAAACCUAAUCACUUAAAUCCAGAAAGCCCAAAAAUCUCUAUGUUUCUCUCUCUUUCUCUCGCUUCCGCUCAACAACCGCUGCCUUCAUUUUUCAACCGCUCCAAGCCGAUUCGUUGGACGUCGAGCACUAGGAAACCCACAAGCCAGUGGGGAGAUCUUCUUUGGAUUUGUUUGGUGAAGAUGCAAUCUCAAUUUUUGGAUUCAAGUUUUUGUAAAGCUCCUUCUUCAGGAUCUGUUAAUGAGUUAAAUUUGAUGUUAAUAUACAAUAAUAAAACUUGUAGUUCCACUAUUGUCUUCUCUAGUUCCUUCGGCUAGCUCUCUGCCUAUAUUUUUGUUUAAUGGUCACUCAUUAUGUAUGAAAAAGUUUAUAAGACCUGGGAGUCUAUUUGGAAUUAAAUGUUGUAUAUAGGAAGUUAGGAACCACCACUUACAGCAUUUAAUUGAAGCUUCUGAACUCCUAAAUUGGAGUCACAUCUCUAUUGUUAAAUUCCCAUUGAUUCUGACCUACGAAUCCAGUACAUUUUUCAUAUUCAUACAAGUUUGCUGUUUUUGUGUGUGUGUGGUUGAAUCAAAUGAUUUCUAUCCCAUUUCUAUAAUUUUAGAUGUAGAUAUGUGUG
This 620-nucleotide long non-coding RNA is filed under the name Olea europaea subsp. europaea. Lineage: Eukaryota; Viridiplantae; Streptophyta; Magnoliopsida; Lamiales; Oleaceae. The record is from RNAcentral.